This 253-nucleotide ribosomal RNA is filed under the name uncultured bacterium. RNAcentral's name for it is "partial 16S ribosomal RNA". It matches the Rfam family "Bacterial small subunit ribosomal RNA", at positions 524 to 776 of the family's 1533-position model. The record is from RNAcentral.
UACGGGGGGGGCAAGCGUUGUUCGGAAUUACUGGGCGUAAAGCGUGCGCAGGCGGUUGUGCAAGACAGAUGUGAAAUCCCCGGGCUCAACCUGGGAAUUGCAUUUGUGACUGCACGGCUAGAGUGUGUCAGAGGGGGGUAGAAUUCCACGUGUAGCAGUGAAAUGCGUAGAGAUGUGGAGGAAUACCGAUGGCGAAGGCAGCCCCCUGGGAUAACACUGACGCUCAUGCACGAAAGCGUGGGGAGCAAACAGG